This 253-nucleotide ribosomal RNA is filed under the name uncultured bacterium. RNAcentral's name for it is "partial 16S ribosomal RNA". It matches the Rfam family "Bacterial small subunit ribosomal RNA", at positions 524 to 776 of the family's 1533-position model. The record is from RNAcentral.
GACGAACCGUCCAAACGUUAUUCGGAAUUACUGGGCUUAAAGGGUGCGUAGGCGGCCUGACAAGUUGGGUGUGAAAUACCUCGGCUCAACCGAGGAACAGCGCUCAAAACUGUUAGGCUUGAGGGAGAUAGAGGUGAGCGGAACUUAAGGUGGAGCGGUGAAAUGCGUUGAUAUCUUAAGGAACACCCGUGGCGAAAGCGGCUCACUGGAUCUCUUCUGACGCUGAUGCACGAAAGCUAGGGGAGCAAACGGG